Molecule: ribosomal RNA, 433 nt
Filed under: uncultured bacterium
Lineage: Bacteria
Description: partial 16S ribosomal RNA
Rfam family: Bacterial small subunit ribosomal RNA
Source: RNAcentral
AACGAACGCUGGCGGCAUGCCUAACACAUGCAAGUCGAACGAGACCUUCGGGUCUAGUGGCGCACGGGUGCGUAACGCGUGGGAACCUGCCCUUAGGUUCGGAAUAACUCACCGAAAGGGGUGCUAAUACCGGAUAAUGUCUUCGGACCAAAGAUUUAUCGCCUUUGGAUGGGCCCGCGUUGGAUUAGCUAGUUGGUAGGGUAAAAGCCUACCAAGGCGACGAUCCAUAGCUGGUCUGAGAGGAUGAUCAGCCACACUGGGACUGAGACACGGCCCAGACUCCUACGGGAGGCAGCAGUGGGGAAUAUUGGACAAUGGGCGAAAGCCUGAUCCAGCAAUGCCGCGUGAGUGAUGAAGGCCUUAGGGUUGUAAAGCUCUUUUACCCGGGAGGAUAAUGACAGUACCGGGAGAAUAAGCUCCGGCUAACUCCGUG